Long non-coding RNA from Cyprinus carpio (common carp), 1262 nucleotides. The record is from Ensembl. NCBI's taxonomy places the organism in Eukaryota, Metazoa, Chordata, Actinopteri, Cypriniformes, Cyprinidae.
AUGUGCCUCUUUCUGCUAGUUAUUUUCAUUUUCAUCAGCGCCAGUGCAGCUGAGAUGUCGCCAGAGUUUCGUCGAUGCUCUCUCCAGUGGGUGAACGCCGGUCAAGUUAAAGUCAGCUGUAACAACACCCUGAUCGCACAGCUCUGUGAUCCUGAUCAGAGCUGUCGAAACACGAGCAAGCCCGGAGUCUCGCUGGAAAAGGACAGGGAAAGAGUAUGCCUAACCAUCACCAACUGCUCCUAUGAUUCAUGGUCCUGCGAAGCACGGGACUCCUAUGAUUCGUGGUCCUGCGAAGCACGGAGUUACAUCGAUGGCGAAGAAUCUUGGGAGAAUGUUACUGUCAACGUGACGUGCAACCAAUCCACCAGCACUUUGCCCAGUCCAGGCAAGUCACAUUCAGAGCCUCCUACAGAUUGGGUCACUGUGGCAAUCAUCGUGGUGAUCAUCAUCGUGGUGAUCAUCAUCGUGGUGAUCAUCAUCGUGGUGAUCAUCGUGCUUUACAUCUGUUACAAGAAGAGGACUCCUAACGAAGUGCAGGACACUGAGUUGGAAGAGAGGCAUAAUUUCCUCGAAUCAGAAAACGUGGUGUGAAGUAAUGAUUAAGAAAACCGUACUCCGGGAAUACAACAUGGAGGACUCUUCUGCCACCUCAGUUCAAAUAUGAUGUGCAAUAGUUAAGUUAAGUAUACAAGGUCGUCAACAGACCAUUGUCUUGUUGUAGAGGUCUGCAUGAGAGGACAUCCCACCUGUACUCGGCUAUCAAAAUCUGUGCCACACUGUUGGGUCAGAUCCCAUGGACGUGCCUUCAAACCUAGAACAGGGUUUUUCUACAUUUCAUGUUUACCUUUGAAACAAAGUCAUGAUAAGCUAAAGUACAUUUUACUCUGUAUAAGAGUGUCUUGCAAAUACUUCUGUUUAUAUAUACUGUGUAUUACUGUAUUAUUAGUUUUGUAAUCAGUAUAGAGACAGUAUUGUAAUCUUGUGCCAUCCUGAGGAGGAGGGCUUCCCCAGCUGAACAUCUCUCAAGGUUUAUGCCUCUUUAACUAAACCUUUUGGGGAGUUUUUUUUUUGCACUGUCACCUUUGGCUUCCUCACUGGGUGACACAAAGACCACAGUAUGUAUUUAAGAAGUGCUGCUUAAAAUGUAUUUGUAAAUAUUCUGUAUUUUAGUUUAUGGUGCUCUAAAUUAUCUUAAUUAACUUAAUGCUUGCACAUUUUUAUUGUAAAAUAAAAAUUAUUGAAGAAAAAUAUUUUUUGUUGGA